This 878-nucleotide ribosomal RNA is filed under the name Phyllosticta neopyrolae. Its description in RNAcentral is "LSU rRNA". It matches the Rfam family "Eukaryotic large subunit ribosomal RNA", at positions 39 to 933 of the family's 3401-position model. Lineage: Eukaryota; Fungi; Ascomycota; Dothideomycetes; Botryosphaeriales; Phyllostictaceae. The record is from RNAcentral.
CAUAUCAAUAAGCGGAGGAAAAGAAACCCAACAGGGAUUGCCUUAGUAACGGCGAGUGAAGCGGCAAUAGCUCAAAUUUGAAAGCUGGCGUCUUCGACGUCCGCGUUGUAAUUUGUAGAGGAUGCUUCGGCGAGGACUCCUGCCUAAGUCCCCUGGAACGGGGCGUCACAGAGGGUGAGAAUCCCGUAUGUGGCGGGCGGUCCAAGCCAUGUGAAGCUCCUUCGACGAGUCGAGUUGUUUGGGAAUGCAGCUCUAAAUGGGAGGUAAAUUUCUUCUAAAGCUAAAUAUUGGCCAGAGACCGAUAGCGCACAAGUAGAGUGAUCGAAAGAUGAAAAGCACUUUGGAAAGAGAGUUAAAAAGUACGUGAAAUUGUUGAAAGGGAAGCGCUUGCAACCAGACUCGCUCGCAGUUGCUCAGCCGGCCUCUUGGCCGGUGUACUCUUCUGCGAUCGGGCCAGCAUCAGUUCGGGCGGCUGGAUAAAGGUGUCGGGAAUGUAGCACCCUUCGGGGUGUGUUAUAGCCCGGCGCGGAAUGUGGCCAGCCUGGACUGAGGAUCUCGCUUCGGCAAGGAUGCUGGCGUAAUGGUUGUAAGCGGCCCGUCUUGAAACACGGACCAAGGAGUCUAACAUCUAUGCGAGUGUUUGGGUGUCAAACCCAUGCGCGUAAUGAAAGUGAACGGAGGUGGGAACCCUUCACGGGGUGCACCAUCGACCGAUCCUGAUGUCUUCGGAUGGAUUUGAGUAAGAGCAUAGCUGUUGGGACCCGAAAGAUGGUGAACUAUGCCUGAAUAGGGUGAAGCCAGAGGAAACUCUGGUGGAGGCUCGCAGCGGUUCUGACGUGCAAAUCGAUCGUCAAAUUUGGGUAUAGGGCGAAAGACUA